This 453-nucleotide ribosomal RNA is filed under the name uncultured bacterium. Its description in RNAcentral is "bacterial SSU rRNA". It matches the Rfam family "Bacterial small subunit ribosomal RNA", at positions 340 to 786 of the family's 1533-position model. The record is from RNAcentral.
UACGGGAGGCAGCAGUGGGGAAUAUUGCACAAUGGGCGCAAGCCUGAUGCAGCCAUGCCGCGUGUAUGAAAAGGGCCUUCGGGUUGUAAAGUACUUUCAGUCGUGAGGAAGGUGUUAAGGUUAAUAACCUUAGCAAUUGACGUUAGCGACAGAAGAAGCACCGGCUAACUCCGUGCCAGCAGCCGCGGUAAUACGGAGGGUGCGAGCGUUAAUCGGAAUUACUGGGCGUAAAGGGCACGCAGGCGGUUAAUUAAGUUGGAUGUGAAAUCCCCGGGCUUAACCUGGGAAUGGCAUUCAAGACUGGUUAGCUAGAGUCUUGUAGAGGGGGUAGAAUUCCAUGUGUAGCGGUGAAAUGCGUAGAGAUGUGGAGGAAUACCGGUGGCGAAGGCGGCCCCUGGACAAAGACUGACGCUCAUGUGCGAAAGCGUGGGGAGCAAACAGGGAUUAGAUACC